RNAcentral lists this ribosomal RNA (2721 nucleotides) under human gut metagenome. RNAcentral's name for it is "bacterial LSU rRNA". It matches the Rfam family "Bacterial large subunit ribosomal RNA". The record is from RNAcentral.
AGGGCGCAGGGCGAAUGCCUUGGCACUGGGAGCCGAUGAAAGACGUGAUAAGCUGCGAUAAGCUUCGGGGAGCUGCAAAUAAGCAUUGAUCCGGAGAUCUCUGAAUGAGGAAACUCACCUGGGUUCAUACUCAGGUACGUUAUACUGAACUUCAAAAUAGGUAUAUCGAGGGAACCGCCUGAACUGAAACAUCUAAGUAGGGCGAGGAAGAGACAUCAAACGAGAUUCCGUAAGUAGUGGCGAGCGAACGCGGAAGAGGGCAAACCGUGAGUAGAAAUACUUGCGGGGUACGGACUGCUUUUAGGACUUAAUCUGUUAACCGAACGGCAUGGGAAGGCCGGUCAGAGAGUGUGAGAACCACGUAGGUGAAAACGGAGAGAGCUGCGCAGGAUCCAGAGUACGGCCAGACACGUGAAACCUGGUCGGAAUACGGGGGGACCACCCUCCAACCCUAAAUACUACCCAGUGACCGAUAGCGUAUAGUACUGUGAAGGAAAGGUGAAAAGCACCCCGGGAGGGGAGUGAAAAAGAACCUGAAACCCUGUGCCUACAAGCACCUAGAGCACGUCAAUGUGUGAUAGGGUACUUUUUGUAGAACGGUCCGGCGAGCGAUUGUAUGCAGCAAGGUUAAGGACUUAAGGUCUGGAGCCGAAGCGAAAGCGAGUUUGAAAAGGGCGUUAAGUUGCAUAUAAUGGGCCCGAAACCGGGUGACCUACCCAUGGUCAGGUUGAAGUGGAAGUAAAAUUCCAUGGAGGACCGAACCGACCUCCGUUGAAAAGGCGGCGGAUGAACUGUGGGUAGCGGAGAAAUUCCAAUCGAACCCGGAGAUAGCUGGUUCUCCCCGAAAUAGUUUUAGGACUAGCCUCAAGUUAGAUACCUGGAGGUAAAGCACUGAAUAGCCUAGCGGCCGAGAGGUUAGCGAAGCUUAUCAAACUCAGAAUGCCAGAGUAUUGAUGCUUGGGAGUCAGACAGUGUCAGAUAAAUGUCAUUGUCAAAAGGGAAACAGCCCAGAUCUACAGCUAAGGUCCCAAAGUCAGGUUAAGUGGAAAACGAUGUGAAGAUACGCAGACAACCAGGAUGUUGGCUCAGAAGCAGCCACUCAUUCAAAGAGUGCGUAAUAGCUCACUGGUCGAGCGUCUUUGCGCGGAGAAUUUAACGGGGCUAAACCUGACACCGAAGCUUAGGCAAUGUAGUAAUACAUUGGGUAGGGGAGCGUUGUAUACGCGGUGAAACAGUAGCGCAAGCGGCUGUGGAGUGUAUAGAAGUGAGAAUGCCGGAAUGAGUAGCGCGAAUGCAGUGAGAAUCUGCAUGGCCGAAAGCCUCAGGUUUCUGGAGGAAGGUUCGUCCGCUCCAGGUUAGUCGGGAGCUAAGGUGAGGCCUAACGGCGUAGCCGAUGCACAGACGGUAGAGAUUCCGUCACCACCAAAAGAGUUAAACACAGGGACACAUUUGAAGUCUCGGAGCCGGGUGUUGGUUCCGGUAGCGAUCGAGGGAAGUUAGUACCGAAGUCCGGGAUGGAAGAUGGCGAGAAAAGCUGUGUGUAUUUCUGCGGUGCCCGUACCGCAAACCGACACAGGUAGGUAGGAAGAAGAUUCUAAGGCCAACGGGAGAAGGGUUGUUAAGGAACUCGGCAAAUUGACCCCGUAACUUCGGGAGAAGGGGUGCUCCAGAGAUGGAGCCGCAGAGAAUCGGCCCAAGCAACUGUUUACCAAAAACACAGGUUUGUGCUAAAUCGAAAGAUGACGUAUACGAGCUGACGCCUGCCCGGUGCUGGAAGGUUAAGAGGAGAUGUGCAAGCAUUGAAUCGAAGCCCCAGUGAACGGCGGCCGUAACUAUAACGGUCCUAAGGUAGCGAAAUUCCUUGUCAGGUAAGUUCUGACCCGCAUGAAAGGCGUAAUGAUUUGGGCACUGUCUCAACAGCCCGCCCGGCGAAAUUGUAGUACCGGUGAAGAUGCCGGUUACCCGCGACAAGACGGAAAGACCCCAUGGAGCUUUACUGUAGCCUAAUAUUGGGUUUCGAUGUUGCAUGCACAGGAUAGAUGGGACUCUGGGAAGUGAUCGCUUUGGCGGUCAUGGAGAGGACGUUGGGAUACCAUCCUUGCGAUAUUGGAAUUCUAACCUGCGGCUCUGAAUCGAGUCGGGGGACAUUGUUAGGUGGGCAGUUUGACUGGGGCGGUCGCCUCCUAAAGAGUAACGGAGGCGUUCAAAGGUUCGCUCAGCUUGAACGGAAAUCAAGCAAAAGAGUGCAAACGCAGAAGCGAGCCUAACUGCGAGACUGACGGGUCGAGCAGUAACGAAAGUUGGAGUUAGUGAUCCGGUGGUAUGUGAGUGGAAAUGCCAUCGCUCAACGGAUAAAAGUUACCCUGGGGAUAACAGGCUGAUCUCCCCCAAGAGUCCACAUCGACGGGGAGGUUUGGCACCUCGAUGUCGGCUCAUCGCAUCCUGGGGCUGUAUUCGGUCCCAAGGGUUUGGCUGUUCGCCAAUUAAAGCGGUACGCGAGCUGGGUUCAGAACGUCGUGAGACAGUUCGGUCCCUAUCUGUCGUGGGCGCAGGAUAUUUGAUGGGAGCUGUCCCUAGUACGAGAGGACCGGGACGGACGUACCUCUGGCGCACCAGUUGUUCCGCCAGGAGCAUAGCUGGGCAACUACGUACGGAUCGGAUAAACGCUGAAAGCAUCUAAGCGUGAAGCCGACCCAAAGAUAAGAUAUCCCACUGAUUUGA